RNAcentral lists this ribosomal RNA (169 nucleotides) under uncultured bacterium. RNAcentral's name for it is "partial 16S ribosomal RNA". The record is from RNAcentral.
AUUACCGCGGCUGCUGGCACGAAGUUUGCCGGGGCUUAUUCUGCAGGUACCGUCAUUAUCUUCCCUGCUAAAAGAGCUUUACAGCCCGAAGGCCUUCUUCACUCACGCGGCAUCGCUGGAUCAGGGUUUCCCCCAUUGUCCAAUAUUCCCCACUGCUGCCUCCCGUAGG